GAUGAACGCUGGCGGCGUGCCUAAUACAUGCAAGUCGAGCGAACAGAUGAGGAUCUUGCUCCUCUGACGUUAGCGUCGGACGGGUGAGUAACACGUGGAUAACCUACCUAUAAGACUGGGAUAACUUCGGGAAACCGGAGCUAAUACCGGAUAAUAUAUUGAACCGCAUGGUUCAAUAGUGAAAGACGGUUUUGCUGUCACUUAUAGAUGGAUCCGCGCCGCAUUAGCUAGUUGGUAAGGUAACGGCUUACCAAGGCAACGAUGCGUAGCCGACCUGAGAGGGUGAUCGGCCACACUGGAACUGAGACACGGUCCAGACUCCUCAGGGAGGCAGAAGUAGGGAAUCUUCCGCAAUGGGCGAAAGCCUGACGGAGAAACGCCGCGUGAGUGAUGAAGGUCUUCUGAUCGUAAAACUCUGUUAUUAGGGAAGAACAAAUGUGUAAGUAACUAUGCACGUCUUGACGGUACCUAAUCAGAAAGCCACGGCUAACUACGUG
Molecule: ribosomal RNA, 497 nt
Filed under: uncultured bacterium
Lineage: Bacteria
Description: partial 16S ribosomal RNA
Rfam family: Bacterial small subunit ribosomal RNA
Source: RNAcentral